GCAGGGAGUUUUGCGCAAUGGGCGAAAGCCUGACGCAGCAACGCCGCGUGAGGGAUGAAGGCCUUCGGGUUGUAAACCUCUUUUAUCAGGGAAGAAUAAUGACGGUACCUGGUGAAUAAGUCACGGCUAACUACGUGCCAGCAGCUGCGGUAAUACGUAGGUGGCAAGCGUUAUCCGGAUUCACUGGGCGUAAAGAGCGCGUAGGUGGUCCUUCAAGUCAGAUGUUAAAUCUCCUGGCUUAACUGGGAGCUGUCAUCUGAUACUGCUGGACUUGAGGGCGGUAGAGGGAGGUGGAAUUCCCGGUGUAGUGGUGAAAUGCGUAGAUAUCGGGAGGAACACCAGUGGCGAAAGCGGCCUCCUAGGCCGUUCCUGACACUGAGGCGCGAAAGCGUGGGGAGCGAACAGGAUCAGAUACCCGAGUAGUCC
This 426-nucleotide ribosomal RNA is filed under the name uncultured bacterium. RNAcentral's name for it is "bacterial SSU rRNA". It matches the Rfam family "Bacterial small subunit ribosomal RNA", at positions 354 to 796 of the family's 1533-position model. The record is from RNAcentral.